This 581-nucleotide ribosomal RNA is filed under the name Alternaria sp. KJ-2012. RNAcentral describes it as "eukaryotic LSU rRNA". The stretch from base 209 to 362 matches the Rfam family "5.8S ribosomal RNA". Lineage: Eukaryota; Fungi; Ascomycota; Dothideomycetes; Pleosporales; Pleosporaceae. The record is from RNAcentral.
UCGUAACAAGGUCUCCGUAGGUGAACCUGCGGAGGGAUCAUUACACAAAUAUGAAGGCGGGCUGGAACCUCUCGGGGUUACAGCCUUGCUGAAUUAUUCACCCUUGUCUUUUGCGUACUUCUUGUUUCCUUGGUGGGUUCGCCCACCACUAGGACAAACAUAAACCUUUUGUAAUUGCAAUCAGCGUCAGUAACAAAUUAAUAAUUACAACUUUCAACAACGGAUCUCUUGGUUCUGGCAUCGAUGAAGAACGCAGCGAAAUGCGAUAAGUAGUGUGAAUUGCAGAAUUCAGUGAAUCAUCGAAUCUUUGAACGCACAUUGCGCCCUUUGGUAUUCCAAAGGGCAUGCCUGUUCGAGCGUCAUUUGUACCCUCAAGCUUUGCUUGGUGUUGGGCGUCUUGUCUCUAGCUUUGCUGGAGACUCGCCUUAAAGUAAUUGGCAGCCGGCCUACUGGUUUCGGAGCGCAGCACAAGUCGCACUCUCUAUCACCAAAGGUCUAGCAUACAUUAAGCCUUUUUUUCAACUUUUGACCUCGGAUCAGGUAGGGAUACCCGCUGAACUUAAGCAUAUCAAUAAGCGGAG